UAGGGAAUCUUCCACAAUGGACGCAAGUCUGAUGGAGCAACGCCGCGUGAGUGAAGAAGGCUUUCGGGUCGUAAAACUCCGUUAUUGAAGAAGAACGUGUGUGACAGUAACUGGUCAUGCAGUGACGGUAUUCAAUCAGAAAGUCACGGCUAACUACGUGCCAGCAGCCGCGGUAAUACGUAGGUGGCAAGCGUUGUCCGGAUUUAUUGAGCGUAAAGCGAGUGCAGGCGGUCUUUUAAGUCUGAUGUGAAAGCCUUCGGCUUAACCGAAG
This 271-nucleotide ribosomal RNA is filed under the name uncultured bacterium. RNAcentral describes it as "partial 16S ribosomal RNA". It matches the Rfam family "Bacterial small subunit ribosomal RNA", at positions 355 to 618 of the family's 1533-position model. The record is from RNAcentral.